AUUGAACGCUGGCGGCAGGCCUAACACAUGCAAGUCGAACGGUAACAGGAAGAAGCUUGCUUCUUUGCUGACGAGUGGCGGACGGGUGAGUAAUGUCUGGGAAGCUGCCUGAUGGAGGGGGAUAACUACUGGAAACGGUAGCUAAUACCGCAUAACGUCGCAAGACCAAAGAGGGGGACCUUCGGGCCUCUUGCCAUCGGAUGUGCCCAGAUGGGAUUAGCUUGUUGGUGGGGUAACGGCUCACCAAGGCGACGAUCCCUAGCUGGUCUGAGAGGAUGACCAGCCACACUGGAACUGAGACACGGUCCAGACUCCUACGGGAGGCAGCAGUGGGGAAUAUUGCACAAUGGGCGCAAGCCUGAUGCAGCCAUGCCGCGUGUAUGAAGAAGGCCUUCGGGUUGUAAAGUACUUUCAGCGGGGAGGAAGGGAGUAAAGUUAAUACCUUUGCUCAUUGACGUUACCCGCAGAAGAAGCACCGGCUAACUCCGUGCCAGCAGCCGCGGUAAUACGGAGGGUGCAAGCGUUAAUCGGAAUUACUGGGCGUAAAGCGCACGCAGGCGGUUUGUUAAGUCAGAUGUGAAAUCCCCGGGCUCAACCUGGGAACUGCAUCUGAUACUGGCAAGCUUGAGUCUCGUAGAGGGGGGUAGAAUUCCAGGUGUAGCGGUGAAAUGCGUAGAGAUCUGGAGGAAUACCGGUGGCGAAGGCGGCCCCCUGGACGAAGACUGACGCUCAGGUGCGAAAGCGUGGGGAGCAAACAGGAUUAGAUACCCUGGUAGUCCACGCCGUAAACGAUGUCGACUUGGAGGUUGUGCCCUUGAGGCGUGGCUUCCGGAGCUAACGCGUUAAGUCGACCGCCUGGGGAGUACGGCCGCAAGGUUAAAACUCAAAUGAAUUGACGGGGGCCCGCACAAGCGGUGGAGCAUGUGGUUUAAUUCGAUGCAACGCGAAGAACCUUACCUGGUCUUGACAUCCACGGAAGUUUUCAGAGAUGAGAAUGUGCCUUCGGGAACCGUGAGACAGGUGCUGCAUGGCUGUCGUCAGCUCGUGUUGUGAAAUGUUGGGUUAAGUCCCGCAACGAGCGCAACCCUUAUCCUUUGUUGCCAGCGGUCCGGCCGGGAACUCAAAGGAGACUGCCAGUGAUAAACUGGAGGAAGGUGGGGAUGACGUCAAGUCAUCAUGGCCCUUACGACCAGGGCUACACACGUGCUACAAUGGCGCAUACAAAGAGAAGCGACCUCGCGAGAGCAAGCGGACCUCAUAAAGUGCGUCGUAGUCCGGAUUGGAGUCUGCAACUCGACUCCAUGAAGUCGGAAUCGCUAGUAAUCGUGGAUCAGAAUGCCACGGUGAAUACGUUCCCGGGCCUUGUACACACCGCCCGUCACACCAUGGGAGUGGGUUGCAAAAGAAGUAGGUAGCUUAACCUUCGGGAGGGCGCUUACCACUUUGUGAUUCAUGACUGGGGUGAAGU
This 1468-nucleotide ribosomal RNA is filed under the name uncultured bacterium. RNAcentral's name for it is "bacterial SSU rRNA". It matches the Rfam family "Bacterial small subunit ribosomal RNA". The record is from RNAcentral.